RNAcentral lists this transfer RNA (74 nucleotides) under Candidatus Omnitrophota bacterium. RNAcentral describes it as "tRNA-Gly". It matches the Rfam family "tRNA". From Rfam's summary of the family: Transfer RNA (tRNA) molecules are approximately 80 nucleotides in length. Their secondary structure includes four short double-helical elements and three loops (D, anti-codon, and T loops). The record is from RNAcentral. Lineage: Bacteria; Pseudomonadati; Candidatus Omnitrophota.
GCGGGAGUAGUUCAAUGGCAGAACAACAGCCUUCCAAGCUGUAUAUGCGGGUUCGAUUCCCGUCUCCCGCUCCA